Long non-coding RNA from Humulus lupulus (European hop), 349 nucleotides. RefSeq lists it as uncharacterized. The transcript has 2 exons. Lineage: Eukaryota; Viridiplantae; Streptophyta; Magnoliopsida; Rosales; Cannabaceae. The record is from RefSeq and is a predicted model, not a curated record.
AUUGACAAUCAUUUUAAUUUUAAUUGUCUAACCUUUUUGCAGACAUAUGAAAGAUCAUGUAUUCAAAAGUGGAUAGACAUACCUUGCAGUACCAGGGAUUGCGUGUCCUCGUCCAGUAACAGGUUGGUGAUUUAUGGCUUGUUCGGAGAUUCAAAUGGCUGUAAAGAAUGAAGAUUAUGUAACUAUAUGGGUGUCUAAGAUAUGGACAGACAGUCACUUAACAUUUUCAGUAUGCGACUUCUAGGGGCUUAGGUUUGUUUUCUAUAUACUUAAUUUCUCUGCCAGAACAUUAUUUUGCUAUAGGACAUAAUUUCUUUUAGGCAUAUAAAUCAAUAUCAUUAAUGCUCAA